This 94-nucleotide transfer RNA is filed under the name subsurface metagenome. Its description in RNAcentral is "tRNA-Ile". It matches the Rfam family "tRNA". From Rfam's summary of the family: Transfer RNA (tRNA) molecules are approximately 80 nucleotides in length. Their secondary structure includes four short double-helical elements and three loops (D, anti-codon, and T loops). The record is from RNAcentral.
GGGCCCGUGGCCUAGCCAGGAUAGGGCGGCAAGCAAAUUGCCCGCAAGCCUUCGGAGCUGCAAAUCGGGGGUUCGAAUCCCUCCGGGCCCGCCA